AGGGUUUGAUCCUGGCUCAGAGUGAACGCUGGCGGCGUGGAUAAGGCAUGCAAGUCGAGCGAUCUUGAUUGAGUAAGGUGAUUGACCGUAAGGAAGAUUGCCAAGCAAAAUCAGGAUAGCGGCAAAAGGGUGAGCAAUACAUGGGUAACUUACCUUAAAGAGAUGGAUAGCCUAUCGAAAGAUAGAGUAAUACAUCAUAGUAAGUUAAAUCGAAGGAUUUAACUUUAAAGAUAGCCUAUGCCUUCGGGUAUGCUGUCACUUUAAGAGAGGCCCAUGUCCUAUCAGGUAGUUGGCAGGGUAAUGGCCUACCAAGCCUAAGACGGGUAGCUGGCUUGAGAGAGUGGUCAGCCACACCGGGACUGAGACACUGCCCGGACUCCUACGGGAGGCUGCAGUCGAGAAUAUUUCCCAAUGGGCGAAAGCCUGAGGAUGCGACGCCGCGUGAGGGAUGAAGGUUUUCGGAUUGUAAACCUCUUUUAUUAGGGAGGAAAAGCAAAAGGUAAAUAGCUUUUUGCCUUGACUGUACCUGAUGAAUAAGCCACGGCUAACUCCGUGCCAGCAGCCGCGGUAAUACGGAGGUGGCAAGCGUUACUCGGUUUGACUGGGUGUAAAGGGUCCGCAGGCGGUCUUGUAAGUGAAGGGUGAAAUCUCUUGGCUUAACCAAGAAAUGGCUUUUCAAACUGCUAGACUCGAGGAUGGGAGAGGAGAGCGGAACUGUCGGUGUAAAGGUGAAAUUUGUGGAUAUCGACAGGAACGCCUGUGGGGAAGUCGGCUCUCUGGACCAUACCUGACGCUAAUGGACGAAAGCUAGGGGAGCAAACAGGAUUAGAUACCCUGGUAGUCCUAGCCGUAAACGAUGGGCACUAGGUGUUUUCACUUUAAGUGGAAGUGCCGUAGCUAACGCGUUAAGUGCCCCACCUGGGGACUAUGGCCGCAAGGUUAAAACUCAAAGGAAUUGACGGGGGCCCGCACAAGCGGUGGAACAUGUGGUUUAAUUCGAUGCUACGCGAGGAACCUUACCAGGGCUUGACAUGCUGGAAGUAACUACCUGAAAAGGUGUGUGACCUGUAUCCAAUCAGGACCCAGCACAGGUGCUGCAUGGUUGUCGUCAGCUCGUGCCGUGAGGUGUUCCUUUAAGUAGGAGAACGAGCGCAACCCUCGCUCUUAGUUGCUACCUCUGCCUUAAACAGAGCGCACUCUAUGGGGACUGCCCGCUUUAAGUGGGAGGAAGGUGGGGAUGACGUCAAAUCCGCAUGGCCCUUAUGUCCUGGGCUACACACGUGUUACAAUGCUUGCUACAAUGGGAGACUAAGCCGUAAGGUGGAGUAAAUCCUAAAAAAGCAAGCUCAGUCCAGAUCGAGGGCUGCAACUCGCCCUCGUGAAGCCGGAAUCGCUAGUAAUGGCGCAUCAGCAACGGCGCCGUGAAUACGUUCCCGGGCCUUGUACACACCGCCCGUCAAGCGCUGAAAGUAGGGAGCACCCAAAGCCCCGACCUAGUCGGGUUCACGGUGAGUUUUACGAUUGGCGCUAAGUCGUAACAAGGUA
Molecule: ribosomal RNA, 1545 nt
Filed under: metagenome
Description: bacterial SSU rRNA
Rfam family: Bacterial small subunit ribosomal RNA
Source: RNAcentral